RNAcentral lists this ribosomal RNA (479 nucleotides) under uncultured bacterium. RNAcentral's name for it is "bacterial SSU rRNA". It matches the Rfam family "Bacterial small subunit ribosomal RNA", at positions 355 to 850 of the family's 1533-position model. The record is from RNAcentral.
UGGGGAAUCUUGGACAAUGGGCGCAAGCCUGAUCCAGCCAUGCCGCGUGAGCGAUGAAGGCCUUAGGGUUGUAAAGCUCUUUCACCGGUGAAGAUAAUGACGGUAGCAGGUAAAGAAACCCCGGCUAACUCCGUGCCAGCAGCCGCGGUAAUACGGAGGGGGUUAGCGUUGUUCGGAAUUACUGGGCGUAAAGCGCACGUAGGCGGACCAGAAAGUUGGGGGUGAAAUCCCGGGGGCUCAACCCCGGAACUGCCUCCAAAACUAUUGGUCUAGAGUUCGAGAGAGGUGAGUGGAAUUCCAAGUGUAGAGGUGAAAUUCGUAGAUAUUUGGAGGAACACCAGUGGCGAAGGCGGCUCACUGGCUCGAUACUGACGCUGAGGUGCGAAAGUGUGGGGAGCAAACAGGAUUAGAUACCCUGGUAGUCCACACCGUAAAACGAUGAAUGCCAGUCGUCGGGUAGCAUGCUAUUCGGUGACACA